RNAcentral lists this ribosomal RNA (252 nucleotides) under uncultured bacterium. RNAcentral's name for it is "partial 16S ribosomal RNA". It matches the Rfam family "Bacterial small subunit ribosomal RNA", at positions 524 to 776 of the family's 1533-position model. The record is from RNAcentral.
UACGAAGGGGCUAGCGUUGCUCGGAAUCACUGGGCGUAAAGGGUGCGUAGGCGGGUCUUAAGUCAGGGGUGAAAUCCUGGAGCUCAACUCCAGAACUGCCUUUGAUACUGAGGAUCUUGAGUUCGGGAGAGGUGAGUGGAACUGCGAGUGUAGAGGUGAAAUCGUUAGAUAUUCGCAAGAACACCAGUGGCGAAGGCGGCUCACUGGCCCGAUACUGACGCUGAGGCACGGAAAGCGUGGGGAGCAACACGG